AUGGCAGGUUGCUGUGGUUACUGCAGAACCACUGAGGCUCUGCUGAGGAGGGACUGGCAAAAAGGCAGAGGAGCAGUGCCUGUAGGAACUUGCUGGAUGACUCUCUCCAGGAAAGAUAGCUUGAUGUAUCGUCCUGGCCUCCUGCCACUUCUCCUUGCAUGUACUCACACACAUCUCAGGAGCUCGUGUGCCAAACUGGUGAAUGUGCUCGAGGAGUGGAGCAGAACGGAGGUACCUAAAGAGAGCAAUCAGGCCAGUAGUGUCCUCGGCACUAUGACCUGUUCCUGGAGAAGGAAGCUUAUCUAUUUCCUAGGGAAGAAACGUUCGUGUAAGAAUAAAAUUACUGUUCAAUUUAUGUUUUCUGCAGAUUUGCUUCCUUGUCAGACUGAAAAGAGACAACAGACCGGGUUUGGUGUGGAGGUUACAGCUCCGUCGCUGGCUGUGGGACAGCAGUUACGUGCGGUGCUGUGCAGGAGCACAAACUCGAGCCCUUGGGUAGCUGGGUGCUGUCAGCUCAGCAUCACACCCUGCUGA
This 534-nucleotide long non-coding RNA is filed under the name Phasianus colchicus (ring-necked pheasant). Its description in RNAcentral is "lncRNA (ENSPCLG00000021829.1)". The record is from RNAcentral. Lineage: Eukaryota; Metazoa; Chordata; Aves; Galliformes; Phasianidae.